CGGCACCGGCCCCGCGCCUCACCUGUAGCAGCAGCCGCCGCAGCGCCGCCUCCUCCUCCUCCUCCGCCUCCAGCUCGGCCGAGAGCAGCGACGGGUCCGCCAUGGCCCGGGGGAGAACCCGAGAGAACCGGGAACCGCCGGGACCCCCCAAAACCCCCGGGACCCCCGGGCCGCCCUCAGCGCUCCUCCACCGCCGCCACUUCCGCUUCCGGCGGGGCCAGUCUCCAUGGUUACGAGGGGCGCUCUGGCCACUUCCGCCUCAUCUCGGUGAUUUUUGGGGCCGCUCUGGCCCGUCCUUCCCUGUCUCGGUGGUUUUUGGGGGCGCUCUGGCCCGUCCUUCCCCGUCUCGGUGGUUUUUGGGGCCGCUCUGGCCCCUCCCCGCCCGUCUCGGUGGUUGCUGGGCGGUGAUGGCGGCUCUGGCGGCCAUCGGGGCUCCCCCGGUCCCCGAAAUCUUCGCCACCAUGGAGGAGGGGCCGAGCCCCGGCGGGACCAGCCCGGGAGAGGCUGGCCGCUGUGCUGUCUGGUGACCCCGGUGCCACCCUGGCGUCGCUGCUGUCCCUGCUGGGGGCGCGGCCGCUCUGCCGGACCCUGGGGGCGGAUCUGGAGCUGGGGCUGCGGCUGCUGCGGGGACACGGCGGGGACACGGGGGACACGGGGGACACGCGGGGCUGGAGGCCACUGGGGGUGGUGGCCGUGGUGCUGCUGGGUCCCUGCUCGCUGCCAGCGCUGCUCAGCAAACUGGGGCCACUGCUGGCCAUGGGUAACACGGCCGUGGUGCUGAGCCCCCCGCCCACGGCGCCGCCGCUGCUGCUGCUGGGGGCGCUGGCUGGGGAGGGGGCUGCGCUGCCCCCCGGGGUGCUCAACGUCCUGGCGGGACCCCCGGGGCUGGCCGGGACCCUGCGCGCCCACCCCGAGGUCACGGCGGUCACCGCCCUGGGGGGCUCCCAGGUACGGGGGGCCCUGGCCCCAAUUCGGGGUCCCUGGCCCCAUUUCGGGGGUCCCUGUGCCAAAUUUGGGGUCCCUGGCCC
This is a long non-coding RNA of Passer montanus (Eurasian tree sparrow), 1028 nucleotides long. RefSeq lists it as uncharacterized. NCBI's taxonomy places the organism in Eukaryota, Metazoa, Chordata, Aves, Passeriformes, Passeridae. The record is from RefSeq and is a predicted model, not a curated record. The transcript has 4 exons.